GAUGAACGCUGGCGGCGUGCCUAAUACAUGCAAGUCGAGCGAACAGACGAGGAGCUUGCUCCUCUGACGUUAGCGGCGGACGGGUGAGUAACACGUGGAUAACCUACCUAUAUGACUGGGAUAACUUCGGGAAACCGGAGCUAAUACCGGAUAAUAUAUUGAACCGCAUGGUUCAAUAGUGAAAGACGGUUUUGCUGUCACUUAUAGACGGAUCCGCGCCGCAUUAGCUAGUUGGUAAGGUAACGGCUUACCAAGGCAACGAUGCGUAGCCGACCUGAGAGGGUGAUCGGCCACACUGGAACUGAGACACGGUCCAGACUCCUACGGGAGGCAGCAGUAGGGAAUCUUCCGCAAUGGGCGAAAGCCUGACGGAGCAACGCCGCGUGAGUGAUGAAGGUCUUCGGAUCGUAACACUCUGUUAUUAGGGAAGAACAAAUGUGUAAGUAACUAUGCACGUCUUGACGGUACCUAAUCAGAAAGCCACGGCUAACUACGUG
Molecule: ribosomal RNA, 497 nt
Filed under: uncultured bacterium
Lineage: Bacteria
Description: partial 16S ribosomal RNA
Rfam family: Bacterial small subunit ribosomal RNA
Source: RNAcentral